UACGUAGGGUGCAAGCGUUAUCCGGAAUUAUUGGGCGUAAAGAGCUCGUAGGCGGUUUGUCGCGUCUGCUGUGAAAACCCGAGGCUCAACCUCGGGCCUGCAGUGGAUACGGGCAGACUAGAGUGCGGUAGGGGAGAUUGGAAUUCCUGGUGUAGCGGUGGAAUGCGCAGAUAUCAGGAGGAACACCGAUGGCGAAGGCAGAUCUCUGGGCCGUAACUGACGCUGAGGAGCGAAAGCGUGGGGAGCGAACAGG
Molecule: ribosomal RNA, 253 nt
Filed under: uncultured bacterium
Lineage: Bacteria
Description: partial 16S ribosomal RNA
Rfam family: Bacterial small subunit ribosomal RNA
Source: RNAcentral